GAAAGUGCAGCGUGCUUUCGAACAGAACAACGGAAGUGUAAGAAGUCAAGAGACAAAUGCAAGACCGCAAAUGCCGUUACUUUUUGAUUAGGGGUUUCUCUCUACUCAAUUGAUUACUUCAUCUCCCUUUGAAUUGAUUAGUGACCGGUUUUACCGUCCCACUUUGAACAGUAUUUGUUGGAAAAUAUUUUGCUGGAAUUAAUAGUAUUUAUGUACACAAUUUAAUUGUUGUGUGGUAUGUGUACUACCAACAUAACUCCAGCACAGAUGAGUUUGCACACUGAUGUGGCGAGUACACAGACGAUUGUUAAUUGGCCUAACUAAUCCUGCAUCUUGAUUGAGUCCACAUACACUUCCUAUUUCACUAUCUUCAAGUGUUUCUAACAUAUACCACCACUACUGCACCAGACACACUUGAGAACCCGAUCAAAGUGACCAAUACUAUUGAGCCAGACACUUGACUUGCCCAACAAGGUGGAGCAGAAAGGAUCACCAGAAAAUUGGGGUGAAUUAAUUAUAGGUCACUCAAACAUGGAGAAGUCUCUGGUCAUGCCCCAAGGAAGACUAGGUCGGUCUCAAAGGCAUCAUUGGUUGAUCCAGAAUCGCGCAUUAACUCUUCGCCAUGCAUGAUUCGCUGCUGGUGCUCAUGCUCCGACACAGUGCAUAGACGAGUUUGAACACUUAUGUGACGCACUUGAGAAGCUGAUCGAAGUGACCACUUCUAAUGCACCAGACACACUUGACUUGCCCAAGAAGGUAGAGCAGAAAGGAUCACCAGAAAAUGGGGGUGAAUUAUAGGUCCCUCAAGCAUGGAGGAGUCUCUCCUCAUGCCCCAAGGAAGACUAGGUCGGUCCCAAAGGCAUCAUUCGUUGAUUCAGACAAGCGCGAGGGCCGUUUCGUCGACUGUGGUGGUGAUCGUGGCUGUGGAGCCCGUAGAUGCGGAGAACGUGGUGGCGAACCGAGCAAGGACAUGCAUACCAACGUGGAGGGUAGGAUUCAGAUGCCACCGCUGUGUUCCAGCUCACCCGGGAGCUCGGCCACAAGACAGACGGCAAGGUCGGCGGUUGGGACCGAACUGCUCCGGGGCAAGAGUUUGCAAUGCCAUAGCUCACUCAAAGCGCAGCGUGCUUUUCAAACAGAACAACGGUAGUGUAUGAAGUCAAGACACAAACAUAAGAACGCAGACAUCAUUAGCUUUUUAUAGAGGGUUUUCUCUGUAGUCAAUUGAUUAGUUUGUCUCCCUUUGAAUUGAUCAGUGGCUGUUUUUAUCAUCCCUCUUUGAACAGCACGUGUGGGAAAAUCUUUU
Molecule: long non-coding RNA, 1306 nt
Organism: Brachypodium distachyon (stiff brome)
Lineage: Eukaryota; Viridiplantae; Streptophyta; Magnoliopsida; Poales; Poaceae
Exons: 5
Source: RefSeq, a predicted model, not a curated record